RNAcentral lists this ribosomal RNA (460 nucleotides) under uncultured bacterium. RNAcentral's name for it is "partial 16S ribosomal RNA". It matches the Rfam family "Bacterial small subunit ribosomal RNA", at positions 338 to 795 of the family's 1533-position model. The record is from RNAcentral.
CCUACGGGAGGCUGCAGUGAGGAAUAUUGGUCAAUGGACGAGAGUCUGAACCAGCCAAGUAGCGUGAGGGAUGACUGCCCUAUGGGUUGUAAACUUCUUUUAUAAAGGAAUAAAACGAGGCACGUGUGCCUUUUUGCAUGUACUUUAUGAAUAAGGAUCGGCUAACUCCGUGCCAGCAGCCGCGGUAAUACGGAGGAUCCGAGCGUUAUCCGGAUUUAUUGGGUUUAAAGGGAGCGUAGAUGGGUUGUUAAGUCAGUUGUGAAAGUUUGCGGCUCAACCGUAAAAUUGCAAUUGAUACUGGAAGUCUUGAGUACAGUUGAGGUAGGCGGAAUUCGUGGUGUAGCGGUGAAAUGCUUAGAUAUCACGAAGAACCCCGAUUGCGAAGGCAGCUUACUAAACUGUGACUGACAUUGAUGCUCGAAAGUGUGGGUAUCAAACAGGAUUAGAUACCCCUGUAGUC